GUGCACAUCGUCUAAUGGUAAAGACCACUGUCUUCUAAGCAGUUCAUGAGAGUUCGAUUCUCUCUGUGUACA
Molecule: transfer RNA, 72 nt
Filed under: Sphaeropleales sp. YC001
Lineage: Eukaryota; Viridiplantae; Chlorophyta; Chlorophyceae; Sphaeropleales
Description: tRNA-Arg
Rfam family: tRNA
About the family: Transfer RNA (tRNA) molecules are approximately 80 nucleotides in length.
Source: RNAcentral